UACGUAGGGGGCGAGCGUUGUCCGAAGUUACUGGGCGUAAAGCGCGCGUAGGCGGGAGCGUAAGUCCGCUGUGAAAGCCCGGAGCUUAACUCCGGUUGGUCGGUGGAGACUGCGUUUCUUGAAGGGGCUAGAGGGAGAUGGAAUUACCGGUGUAGCGGUGAAAUGCGUAGAGAUCGGUAGGAACACCCGUGGCGAAGGCGGUCUCCUGGGGCCCUCUUGACGCUGAGGCGCGAAAGCUGGGGGAGCGAACGGGAUUAGAUACCCCGGUAGUCCCAGCCCUAAACGAUGGAUACUAGGUGUGCGGGGUAUCGACCCCCCGCGUGCCGCAGCUAACGCAGUAAGUAUCCCGCCUGGGGAGUACGGCCGCAAGGUUGAA
This 376-nucleotide ribosomal RNA is filed under the name uncultured bacterium. RNAcentral's name for it is "bacterial SSU rRNA". It matches the Rfam family "Bacterial small subunit ribosomal RNA", at positions 524 to 898 of the family's 1533-position model. The record is from RNAcentral.